CCUGUUGUGAACUGCUCAUCUGAGGGAUCUAGGUUGUGUGCUUCAUAUGAGAAUCUAAUGCCUGAUGAUAUGUCACUGUCUCACUUUGCCCCCAGAUGAGACCAUCUAGUUGCAGAAAAAUAAGCUCAGAGUUUCCACGGAUUCUACAUUAUGAUUUGAUCUUCAACAAAGCUGACACUGGGGAAAGGACACACUCUUCAAUAAAUGGUGCUGGGAAAAUUGGAUAGCCACAUCCAGAAAAAUGAAACUGGACCACUAUCUCACUAUAUACAAGAAUCAACUCAAAGUAGAUUAAAAACUUAAACAGAAGACCUGAAACUAUAAAAAUACUUGAAGAAAACCUAGGGAAAAAUUUCCUGGCCUUUUGUCUAGGCAAAGAAUUUAUGACUAACACCUCAAAAGCCACAAGCAACACAAAUAAAAAUAGACAAAUGGGACUUAAUUAACUUAGAAAGCUUCUGAGCAGCAGAAGAAAUAAUCAGCAGAGUGAAGAGACAACCUCCUGAAUGGAAGAAAAUAUUUGCAAACUGUUCAUCUAAUAGUGGGCUAAUAC
This 553-nucleotide long non-coding RNA is filed under the name Homo sapiens (human). Its description in RNAcentral is "HSALNT0402869". Lineage: Eukaryota; Metazoa; Chordata; Mammalia; Primates; Hominidae. The record is from RNAcentral.